AUUCAGCGAGAAAGUAUUCUUGAUUAACGUUAACGAUUGACUUAUGCAUUCAAAAAUAUAAUUAUUAGAUUCAAAACGAUUUUCUCAACAAAUUAUUGAACAAAAGUAUCCUUCUAUAUCAUUGAAUUUACGUCGAUUUGAUCUACGUUACCUCGUAGAAAAAGGUUAUGUGAUGUUAUUCAAUGAUAAGAAGAAGUUGCAAAGUGAAGUUUGGAUUGAAAGUUCAUUCAGUACAUCAGCAAUUUAAACUUCUAUGUCUUCAAAUUUUUCAGGAACAAAACUUUGUGAAAUCUGAUGAAAUAUAUUCAAAUAGAACAGUUAGAAGGAAAAUAAACAUUACUAAAGAUAUCGCUGAAAGAAACGCAAUAGUUUGUAGUGUUUAGUAAUUUCUAUUCGAAAUUAUAAAGCCAUGAACAAUAUUUUACAUCGGAUAACUAUUAGGAUAGUGAAAAGAAUGGAAAAAGAACUUAGACGAAGAAAUAAGGAGAUGUUUGAGACAAUUUUUUGAUGCUUGAUUUAUAUGAUGCUGUCAUGAUAUUUAAAGAGGAUAAUGUAGGCAGAUUCGAGGAGGUAAGAGGUAAAACCUCCAUAUUGAAAAAACUGAAUAAGAUGCAAGUUGAUGAUGAAGAAUUAUAAGCUUCUAUAUUUUCUUAAAAGACAAGAUCUGUGAAAAGAUGAAAGAAAAUACAUUUGUAUAAUAGAGAACAAGAUGAACAUCAUAAUGAUUGAUGAUCUUAAUUAUUGUUUUUACUAAAAAAUUGAUUUGGGAAAAAGAGAAACUAUGGAAGUGUCAUUAAAAGAAAAUGAACAAAAAAUGUCGUUUAAAAAUGUCAACAAUCUCACAUCCAUUUAGGAGUUUUAUUAUGCUCAAUCAAAGGAGCUCAUGAAAGAUUCAUUAUUUUCCAUGCAUAAAAAGAAGGAACCAAGAUUUAAAUAUCGUAUAGUCACGAUCUAAGACAAUUGUAAUCUACCAAAAGCUUGGUAUUUGGAUGGACCGAUAAGACAACACUUAUACAAAAUAUCCUCUACUGUUUUUCAUCUUACAGCUUCACAUAGUACAUUGAUCAUUUUUGUCAGGCGCGUAUUUGCGUCCAUAGUUCAUACUGAUAGCAUCUGGCGAGCGCGUAUUUGCGUUUACAGUCUAUAUCGAUAGCUUUCGCUGGACGCAUAUGUGCGCCCAUAACACUCAAAGGGUUAAUGAGAAAAUAAAAUCGAUUACAGGUAUUAACAGGUUCGAUAGUUAGAGUAAAUCGGUGACGAGAUAAAACGAAAAUGAAAUGGAAAAAAAAAUAGAUAUGAAAGAGUAAGAGUAUAUGGAGAUGAUAUGGUGAGAAAGAGAAAGAAUGAGAUAGAACGUUAAUUUCACGUUUCUAUUUACAUUAAUGUUUUUCUGUGAUAUAAAUUGAUAUAAUGUGAUAUAAAUUGGCAAUAUAAUUUGUAUCGAUACGUAAUAUAAUUUGGUAACAUAAAUAGAGAAGUAUCAUGUCCGCAUUGCGUCAGGAUUUAUUAUAAAUACUAUUAUAAUAAAUGAUCUAUCUAUUUAAAAUAAUUAUAAAUUAUUUACAUUUACAAAUUAUUUACAUUUUAAUUAAAAUAUUUAUAGUUUUCGUAUUAAUCGAUUUAAU
Long non-coding RNA from Vespa velutina, 1625 nucleotides. RefSeq lists it as uncharacterized. NCBI's taxonomy places the organism in Eukaryota, Metazoa, Arthropoda, Insecta, Hymenoptera, Vespidae. The transcript is spliced from 6 exons. The record is from RefSeq and is a predicted model, not a curated record.